UAAUACGGAGGGUGCGAGCGUUAAUCGGAAUUACUGGGCGUAAAGCGCAUGCAGGUGGUUUGUUAAGUCAGAUGUGAAAGCCCGGGGCUCAACCUCGGAAUAGCAUUUGAAACUGGCAGACUAGAGUACUGUAGAGGGGGGUAGAAUUUCAGGUGUAGCGGUGAAAUGCGUAGAGAUCUGAAGGGAUACCGGUGGCGAAGGCGGCCCCCUGGACAGAUACUGACACUCAGAUGCGAAAGCGUGGGGAGCAAACAGGAUUAGAUACCCUGGUAGUCCACGCCGUAAACGAUGUCUACUUGGAGGUUGUGGCCUUGAGCCGUGGCUUUCGGAGCUAACGCGUUAAGUAGACCGCCUGGGGAGUACGGUCGCAAGAUUAAAACUCAAAUGAAUUGACGGGGGCCCGCACAAGCGGUGGAGCAUGUGGUUUAAUUCGAUGCAACGCGAAGAACCUUACCUACUCUUGACAUCCAGAGAACUUUCCAGAGAUGGAUUGGUGCCUUCGGGAACUCUGAGACAGGUGCUGCAUGGCUGUCGUCAGCUCGUGUUGUGAAAUGUUGGGUUAAGUCCCGCAACGAGCGCAACCCUUAUCCUUGUUUGCCAGCGAGUAAUGUCGGGAACUCCAGGGAGACUGCCGGUGAUAAACCGGAGGAAGGUGGGGACGACGUCAAGUCAUCAUGGCCCUUACGAGUAGGGCUACACACGUGCUACAAUGGCGCAUACAGAGGGCGGCCAACUUGCGAGAGUGAGCGAAUCCCAAAAAGUGCGUCGUAGUCCGGAUCGGAGUCUGCAACUCGACUCCGUGAAGUCGGAAUCGCUAGUAAUCGUGGAUCAGAAUGCCACGGUGAAUACGUUCCCGGGCCUUGUACACACCGCCCGUCACACCAUGGGAGUGGGCUGCAAAAGAAGUAGGUAGUUUAACCUUCGGGAGGACGCUUACCACUUUGUGGUUCAUGANCUGGGGUGAAGUCGUA
This 971-nucleotide ribosomal RNA is filed under the name uncultured bacterium. RNAcentral describes it as "bacterial SSU rRNA". It matches the Rfam family "Bacterial small subunit ribosomal RNA", at positions 521 to 1490 of the family's 1533-position model. The record is from RNAcentral.